RNAcentral lists this ribosomal RNA (451 nucleotides) under uncultured bacterium. RNAcentral's name for it is "partial 16S ribosomal RNA". It matches the Rfam family "Bacterial small subunit ribosomal RNA", at positions 28 to 507 of the family's 1533-position model. The record is from RNAcentral.
GAUGAACGCUGGCGGCGUGCCUAACACAUGCCAGUCGAGCGGCAGCGAGGGGUGCUUGCACCCUGCCGGCGAGCGGCGGACGGCUGAGUAACGCGUGGGAACGUGCCCCAAAGUGAGGAAUAACUGCCCGAAAGGGUAGCUAAUACCGCAUAUUAUCUUCGGAUCAAAGGAUUUAUCCGCUUUGGGAGCGGCUCGCGUCGGAUUAGGUAGUUGGUGAGGUAAUGGCUCACCAAGCCGACGAUCCGUAGCUGGUCUGAGAGGAUGACCAGCCAGACUGGAACUGAGACACGGUCCAGACUCCUACGGGAGGCAGCAGUGAGGAAUCUUCCACAAUGGGCGAAAGCCUGAUGGAGCAACGCCGCGUGCAGGACGAAGGCCUUCGGGUUGUAAACUGCUUUUAUAAGUGAGGAAUAUGACGGUAACUUAUGAAUAAGGAUCGGCUAACUACGUG